RNAcentral lists this ribosomal RNA (1018 nucleotides) under uncultured bacterium. RNAcentral's name for it is "bacterial SSU rRNA". It matches the Rfam family "Bacterial small subunit ribosomal RNA", at positions 355 to 1375 of the family's 1533-position model. The record is from RNAcentral.
UGAGGAAUAUUGGUCAAUGGACGCAAGUCUGAACCAGCCAUGCCGCGUGCAGGAUGACGGCUCUAUGAGUUGUAAACUGCUUUUGUACGAGGGUAAACGCAGAUACGUGUAUCUGUCUGAAAGUAUCGUACGAAUAAGGAUCGGCUAACUCCGUGCCAGCAGCCGCGGCAAUACGGAGGAUUCAAGCGUUAUCCGGAUUUAUUGGGUUUAAAGGGUGCGUAGGCGGUUUGAUAAGUUAGAGGUGAAAUUUCGGGGCUCAACCCUGAACGUGCCUCUAAUACUGUUGAGCUAGAGAGUAGUUGCGGUAGGCGGAAUGUAUGGUGUAGCGGUGAAAUGCUUAGAGAUCAUACAGAACACCGAUUGCGAAGGCAGCUUACCAAACUAUAUCUGACGUUGAGGCACGAAAGCGUGGGGAGCAAACAGGAUUAGAUACCCUGGUAGUCCACGCAGUAAACGAUGAUAACUCGUUGUCGGCGAUACACAGUCGGUGACUAAGCGAAAGCGAUAAGUUAUCCACCUGGGGAGUACGUUCGCAAGAAUGAAACUCAAAGGAAUUGACGGGGGCCCGCACAAGCGGAGGAACAUGUGGUUUAAUUCGAUGAUACGCGAGGAACCUUACCCGGGCUUGAAAGUUAGCGACGAUUCUUGAAAGAGGAUUUCCCUUCGGGGCGCGAAACUAGGUGCUGCAUGGUUGUCGUCAGCUCGUGCCGUGAGGUGUCGGGUUAAGUCCCAUAACGAGCGCAACCCCUACCGUUAGUUGCCAUCAGGUGAAGCUGGGCACUCUGGCGGGACUGCCGGUGUAAGCCGAGAGGAAGGUGGGGAUGACGUCAAAUCAGCACGGCCCUUACGUCCGGGGCUACACACGUGUUACAAUGGUAGGUACAGAGGGCAGCUACCCAGCGAUGGGAUGCGAAUCUCGAAAGCCUAUCUCAGUUCGGAUUGGAGGCUGAAACCCGCCUCCAUGAAGUUGGAUUCGCUAGUAAUCGCGCAUCAGCCAUGGCGCGGUGAAUACGUUCCC